Molecule: ribosomal RNA, 496 nt
Filed under: uncultured bacterium
Lineage: Bacteria
Description: partial 16S ribosomal RNA
Rfam family: Bacterial small subunit ribosomal RNA
Source: RNAcentral
AUGAACGCUGGCGGCGUGCCUAAUACAUGCAAGUCGAGCGAACAGACGAGGAGCUUGCUCCUCUGACGUUAGCGGCGGACGGGUGAGUAACACGUGGAUAACCUACCUAUAAGACUGGGAUAACUUCGGGAAACCGGAGCUAAUACCGGAUAAUAUAUUGAACCGCAUGGUUCCAUAGUGAAAGACGGUUUUGCUGUCACUUAUAGAUGGAUCCGCGCCGCAUUAGCUAGUUGGUAAGGUAACGGCUUACCAAGGCAACGAUGCGUAGCCGACCUGAGAGGGUGAUCAGCCACACUGGAACUGAGACACGGUCCAGACUCCUACGGGAGGCAGCAGUAGGGAAUCUUCCGCAAUGGGCGAAAGCUUGACGGAGCAACGCCGCGUGAGUGAUGAAGGUCUUCGGAUCGUAAAACUCUGUUAUUAGGGAAGAACAAAUGUGUAAGUAACUAUGCACGUCUUGACGGUACCUAAUCAGAAAGCCACGGCUAACUACGUG